This 301-nucleotide ribosomal RNA is filed under the name uncultured bacterium. RNAcentral describes it as "partial 16S ribosomal RNA". It matches the Rfam family "Bacterial small subunit ribosomal RNA", at positions 509 to 807 of the family's 1533-position model. The record is from RNAcentral.
CAGUCGCCGCGGGAAUACGGAGGGUGCAAGCGUUAAUCGGAAUUACUGGGCGUAAAGCGUGCGUAGGCGGUUCGUUAAGUCUGUUGUGAAAGCCCCGGGCUCAACCUGGGAAUGGCAAUGGAUACUGGCGAGCUAGAGUGAGUCAGAGGAUGGUGGAAUUCCCGGUGUAGCGGUGAAAUGCGUAGAGAUCGGGAGGAACAUCAGUGGCGAAGGCGGCCAUCUGGGACAACACUGACGCUGAAGCACGAAAGCGUGGGGAGCAAACAGGAUUAGAUACCCCCGUAGUCCCUGUCUCUUAUAC